GGUGUGGAAGGGUUGCUGUGGUUUUUGGGUGUUUUGUCAUAGGUUGGCGUUCAGAGCGCCUGCUUGUGAUAUGGCGCUUUAAGGAAUUGAGGAAAGUCCCCCCACGGAUGCCGCAAGGCAUUUAAUCCUGGAAAACCAGGGCGCCGGGAGGCGCGGCAACGGAUUAGAAACGAUACCUCCUCCGGUUAAGAAUGAGAGUAUUCGACGUUUCCGGAAUAAGGAUGAAACGAUUUCCAGGUUCUUACGAACUUGGAAAGCUUGAAAAUCUGCAAAGAUUUUCAUGACCGUCCAUGCGUGCAAGUCGAACGACGCGCGCGAAGCAAUUCGCGUCUUUCACGAAAGUGAGAGGAGUCUAAUGCGAUAACGCCCACCAGUCCUGCAAAUUAAGCAGAGACAGAGACGGGCCAAACAAAAGGGGGCUUACUCUCCACACC
This 434-nucleotide unclassified non-coding RNA is filed under the name uncultured archaeon. Its description in RNAcentral is "RNaseP_arch". The record is from RNAcentral.